Molecule: long non-coding RNA, 1193 nt
Organism: Salvelinus sp. IW2-2015
Lineage: Eukaryota; Metazoa; Chordata; Actinopteri; Salmoniformes; Salmonidae
Source: RefSeq, a predicted model, not a curated record
UUGAGGAGACAUCCUAGCUGUCCACACAUUCUGACAAAUGAAUGACAUUACAUAAGAAAAUCAUGACCAAAAAUGCAUCCACAGUGUUCUGUCCAUCAAAACAAUGAGGUAUUCAUGAAUUUUCGGUUUGAAUGAAGACUACACAUUGGACAAGCAUUCAUGUGCCAAACUCCCAGUCCAUUGCAUAUACAGUAUCAGCAAUUAACUCUAAACCUGUCCUAUAAACAUACCACUAUGGAGAAAAACAUGCCUGCGUAUAUGGUAGGCCUAGGCCUAUAUGUUGUUAUACCAACUGAAGUAACCUAGUAAAGUACUCCCAAACAGCAGAGUUCUCUUCACCUGUGCCUCUGAUAUCGUCUCUGUCCGUCAUUCCCUGACAAGAACCAGGGCUUUAAACGCCUGCAGCUCUGUCACAAUGAAACAGGAUCUCAUGCCUUAUUCACGUUACAUCCGAGCAGUUCAUUGCGUUGCGCCGGAUGUCAUUCAUUUCAAUAGGGACUGUACGGAAAGUUCAAGGCUCCUUUGCGAAAUGGGUGGCGCAAACUUUGCGUUGUCUUCAGUGCGCUUCAGUGCAGACCGUCUGUCAAUAGAACAGAAAGUUAGCAAACUACUGAACAUGAUUAAAACGUGGUUUUCGCCUAUGGCUUUAUGGGAUUCCUAUAAGAUGAUAUCUUCAUCCCUGAAAACGUUUUCAUCCUGGAGGAGACUGUGCUGGAGGCAGAGGAAAGAACAGUUAGUACAGCAUGCCAAACUGACUCCUGGGUGCCAGUGUUCCCAUGCUGCGGUGGAGAAGACGUCCACCAGGACCAUCACUAAAUAGCUCAGGGCCCAGCUAGAUUGCGCUCACAACCAUCAGUAUACAACCGGGUCCUGCCCCUAUACGCCACAGAUGGAGCUGACGGAGAGCGAGAUCAGUGAAGACCAUAACUCGCUGUAUGAACCUGAGAGCUCAGAAUCACAAUCAUCCCAGAGCGAGCCAAGAUAUACUAUCGAUCACUUUGGGGGAGCAGGAUGGUGUUCUGAAAAUGGAGAAAGAGCAGGCCAUUCAACAGCGAAUUCAAAGAUACACCCAUCCAUAAAGGGAAUCGGAGUGGAAUUGUUUUAACGCAGAUUUUUUUUAACCCGUUUCAAUAGAUGAUGUGCUACCUUGUCCCGGUUCUGCUGUUUCGAUUUUCUCUCUCUCAACCUAUGAA